AACGCACAUUGCGCCCCUCGGUAUUCCGGGGGGCAUGCCUGUUCGAGCGUCAUUUCAACCCUCAAGCCUAGCUUGGUAUUGGACUUCCGUCGGUCAAACGACGGGUCUUAAAAUCAGUGGCGGCGCCGUUGGGUCCUGAACGUAGUAAUAUAUUUCGUUACAGGUGCCUCGCGUGCUUCUGCCAUUAAACCCCCAAUUUUUUAUGGUUGACCUCGGAUCAGGUAGGGAUACCCGCUGAACUUAA
This 244-nucleotide unclassified non-coding RNA is filed under the name uncultured Rutstroemiaceae. RNAcentral's name for it is "sequence contains ITS2". The stretch from base 1 to 52 matches the Rfam family "5.8S ribosomal RNA", at positions 103 to 154 of the family's 154-position model. Lineage: Eukaryota; Fungi; Ascomycota; Leotiomycetes; Helotiales; Rutstroemiaceae. The record is from RNAcentral.